GAUGAACGCUGGCGGCGUGCCUAAUACAUGCAAGUCGAGCGAACAGAUGAGGAGCUUGCUCCUCUGACGUUAGCGGCGGACGGGUGAGUAACACGUGGAUAACCUACCUAUAAGACUGGGAUAACUUCGGGAAACCGGAGCUAAUACCGGAUAAUAUAUUGAACCGCAUGGUUCAAUAGUGAAAGACGGUUUUGCUGUCACUUAUAGAUGGAUCCGCGCCGCAUUAGCUAGUUGGUAAGGUAACGGCUUACCAAGGCAACGAUGCGUAGCCGACCUGAGAGGGUGAUCGGCCACACUGGAACUGAGACACGGUCCAGACUCCUACGGGAGGCAGCAGUAGGGAAUCUUCCGCAAUGGGCGAAAGCCUGACGGAGCAACGCCGCGUGAGUGAUGAAGGUCUUCGGAUCGUAAAACUCUGUUAUUAGUGAAGAACAAAUGUGUAAGUAACUAUGCACGUCUUGACGGUACCUAAUCAGAAAGCCACGGCUAACUACGUG
Molecule: ribosomal RNA, 497 nt
Filed under: uncultured bacterium
Lineage: Bacteria
Description: partial 16S ribosomal RNA
Rfam family: Bacterial small subunit ribosomal RNA
Source: RNAcentral